AGUUUGAUCCUGGCUCAGGAUGAACGCUAGCUACAGGCUUAACACAUGCAAGUCGAGGGGCAGCGGUAUCGAAAGCUUGCUUUCGGUAGCCGGCGACCGGCGCACGGGUGAGUAACGCGUAUCGAACCUGCCUCAUACUCGGGAAUAGCCUUGCGAAAGUAAGAUUAAUGCCCGGUGUUUUCAGAGUCCCGCAUGAGGCUUUGAACAAAGAUUUAUCGGUAUGAGAUGGCGAUGCGUCCCAUUAGCUUGUUGGCGGGGUAACGGCCCACCAAGGCAUCGAUGGGUAGGGGUUCUGAGAGGAAGGUCCCCCACAUUGGAACUGAGACACGGUCCAAACUCCUACGGGAGGCAGCAGUGAGGAAUAUUGGUCAAUGGGCGGAAGCCUGAACCAGCCAAGUAGCGUGCAGGAAGACGGCCCUCCGGGUUGUAAACUGCUUUUAGUUGGGAAUAAAACGGGGCUCGUGAGCCCCCUUGCAUGUACCAUCAGAAAAAGGACCGGCUAAUUCCGUGCCAGCAGCCGCGGUAAUACGGAAGGUCCGGGCGUUAUCCGGAUUUAUUGGGUUUAAAGGGAGCGCAGGCGGACCUUUAAGUCAGCUGUGAAAUACGGCGGCUCAACCGUCGAACUGCAGUUGAUACUGGAGGUCUUGAGUGCACACAGGGAUGCUGGAAUUCAUGGUGUAGCGGUGAAAUGCUCAGAUAUCAUGAAGAACUCCGAUCGCGAAGGCAGGCAUCCGGGGUGCAACUGACGCUGAGGCUCGAAAGUGCGGGUAUCAAACAGGAUUAGAUACCCUGGUAGUCCGCACAGUAAACGAUGAAUACUCGCGGUUUGCGAUACAGUGUAAGCCGCCAAGCGAAAGCGUUAAGUAUUCCACCUGGGGAGUACGCCGGCAACGGUGAAACUCAAAUGAAUUGACGG
RNAcentral lists this ribosomal RNA (916 nucleotides) under uncultured bacterium. RNAcentral describes it as "bacterial SSU rRNA". It matches the Rfam family "Bacterial small subunit ribosomal RNA", at positions 10 to 916 of the family's 1533-position model. The record is from RNAcentral.